GGACGACACCCACGACCACAAGCUCUACGCUAGGGCCAUGCCGGUCUCCAGAAACGGGGCGCAGAUCUUCU
RNAcentral lists this non-coding RNA (71 nucleotides) under Saccharolobus solfataricus. The record is from RNAcentral. Lineage: Archaea; Thermoproteati; Thermoproteota; Thermoprotei; Sulfolobales; Sulfolobaceae.